Molecule: ribosomal RNA, 490 nt
Filed under: uncultured bacterium
Lineage: Bacteria
Description: partial 16S ribosomal RNA
Rfam family: Bacterial small subunit ribosomal RNA
Source: RNAcentral
AUUGAACGCUGGCGGCAGGCCUAACACAUGCAAGUCGAACGGUAACAGGAAGCAGCUUGCUGCUUUGCUGACGAGUGGCGGACGGGUGAGUAAUGUCUGGGAAACUGCCCGAUGGAGGGGGAUAACUACUGGAAACGGUAGCUAAUACCGCAUAACGUCGCAAGACCAAAGUGGGGGACCUUAGGGCCUCUUGCCAUCGGAUGUGCCCAGAUGGGAUUAGCUAGUAGGUGGGGUAACGGCUCACCUAGGCGACGAUCCCUAGCUGGUCUGAGAGGAUGACCAGCCACACUGGAACUGAGACACGGUCCAGACUCCUACGGGAGGCAGCAGUGGGGAAUAUUGCACAAUGGGCGCAAGCCUGAUGCAGCCAUGCCGCGUGUAUGAAGAAGGCCUUCGGGUUGUAAAGUACUUUCAGCGGGGAGGAAGGGAGUAAAGUUAAUACCUUUGCUCAUUGACGUUACCCGCAGAAGAAGCACCGGCUAACUCCGUG